Molecule: long non-coding RNA, 450 nt
Organism: Ochotona princeps (American pika)
Lineage: Eukaryota; Metazoa; Chordata; Mammalia; Lagomorpha; Ochotonidae
Exons: 4
Source: RefSeq, a predicted model, not a curated record
GAUCGGUGCUGCCUUCACAUCCUUUGCAGGAGUGUCAUGUGCCUGCUGCUGCUGGUGUGCAGGUGUGAUGUCCUCGGGAGAGUGUGGAUUGUUAAGUCCAGAUGUGUCCCCAGUAUGCAGAGGCAUUGUGGGAGUUGAACUGUCAGGAACAUUCUAAACUCCAGUCUCCUUGAGCUGUUUGGAACCAUCACAGACAGUGAAAAGGGACAAUGCUCCACAUCUUGGGCAAGAGUGUCAGUUACACUGUGCAGUGGCUUUUCAGAUACACUAUAUGGACUGACACUGACAUUACAGUUUCCAAAGACGCUCUCCAGUUCUGUUUCUGGCUAGAGGUUGUGUUGUGGAACAAGUAUAAACUGAGACUGUGUUUGGAGGAUGCCGGCCGCUUUACUCAGCACAACACUUCCUGCACCUCUAUGGUUUAUUAAAGAUGUACAUGCUUUUCUCUUG